Coregonus clupeaformis (lake whitefish) is the source of this 730-nucleotide long non-coding RNA. RefSeq lists it as uncharacterized. Lineage: Eukaryota; Metazoa; Chordata; Actinopteri; Salmoniformes; Salmonidae. The transcript is spliced from 3 exons. The record is from RefSeq and is a predicted model, not a curated record.
CAUUUGCCUGGGCUGCGUUCAGAAUGACAGAACGAUGUUCAACAAAGGCCAUGUUUCACAUUAGAACUAUGUAUCAAUGUGAUGUCACCUUUUUUUUGUGGAAAUUUCAGAUAAUAUUGAUUAUAUGCUGCACCAUAAAAGCACAUAAAAAAUAACAAAUGGAACAUUGUCCUUGCAUGACGUAGAAACAGGUGACGUAGCUUUGACUUUGGAAGACAAAGAGACGGGAGUACGUAGGCAAGAAGGAGUUGACCGGGAUUGGCCAUAAAAUCAUGGUAAACUAACGUUACUGAGUUUGUCAUCUGAUCUCUUGGAGCCUGGUGGAGAUCUAUAUGCAACCAUACUACAAGGCAGGACCUUUCUCUGCAUCCAGGUUGAGGCUUGCUACCAGCAGGAACAUGGAGCACUCCAUCAGUGAGUCUGCUGGGCCAUGGAACUCUAGAGCAUCACAUAAAUAAACCUGCCACUCUGUUGUCAUCUAUCUGCAGACACUUCCCUGAGGAAGGAUGCAACUAUCAAGGUUUUCAAAGGCCACAUUUUGGGGAUGACCAAAUGCAAUAACGUUUUGUAUAAACAACUCAUUUAAUUGUUUUGUUAGAUUAUAAAACAAUAACUUUUUCAUAGCAUAUCUGUCUUCAUACUAACUUUGAAUAACUUCUGUGAUAACUUAAAUACAAAGACAAUGAUUCAAAAGGUCUAAAAUAAAUGCAAGUGUUAUGUCCAGGGUGAA